GUAAGAUACUUAAGACUGCAGCCUGCCGGCGCCAAUAGCAGGGCACCUUCAUGCAGGGGCUCUGUCUGUGUUUCAGGCUCAGAUUACUUAAAGAGCCUUAGUAAGCCAGUCUCCUUCCCUGUGUCUGCCUUCGUCAGCUUGUAUUUUGGCCUUUCUCAUGUUAUCUCAAGUCCUUCUUGUGUGGCAUGCUCAGUAGCUUUAGUUGCAUCUGACUCUGCCCCCCAGGCUCCUCUGUCCAAGAGAUCCUCCAGGCAGGAAUACUGGAGUGAGUUGCUAUGUCCUCCUCCAGGGGCUCUUUCCAACUCAGGGAUCAAACCUGCAUCUCUUAUGUCUCCUGCAUUGGCAGCUGGGAGCACCAUCCUGGGUCAGAACUGAAAGUACUCAGGCCACAAAGAAGGCAGUGAAUGGUUGGAAGCUGACCUACUGAUACUAUCCAGAAGUGUCAAUUCUGGUAACAGGAAACUUCCCAUGCAUCCAUC
Bos taurus (domestic cattle) is the source of this 479-nucleotide long non-coding RNA. The record is from Ensembl. Lineage: Eukaryota; Metazoa; Chordata; Mammalia; Artiodactyla; Bovidae.